This is a long non-coding RNA of Uranotaenia lowii, 594 nucleotides long. RefSeq lists it as uncharacterized. The record is from RefSeq and is a predicted model, not a curated record. NCBI's taxonomy places the organism in Eukaryota, Metazoa, Arthropoda, Insecta, Diptera, Culicidae. The transcript is spliced from 3 exons.
GUUAUCAGUUGUCGGUUAAUCGUCAAACAGGCUGUGUUUUAUUUUGUUAUUUGCACCUAAUGAAGAGUGAUAGUGGAUCGGGAGUUUAUCUUGAACGAUCAAAUAUUCACAUGUGCCUGACCGGUAACGCAGCUUCAAGGCUGAAAUUAAUUGUCGCGCGAGUGGUGAAAAUUGGUUUACGAUCAUUAAGAUUUUCGCAAAGUGAAUAUCAACCAAUUACUUGGUGGCUUGAUAACGUAACUAUAAGCCUUUGUAUUCACGUUUUGCUUAUGGAUCCAAAGAUGCGGAACUAAGUUCCAUUGUGUGGAAUAGAGAUCGACCUAUUUGAUCCCGGGGCUUGAGCGGAUAUCCAAGAUGGCUAACUGAGUACAAUGGUUCUAGAAGCCUAUCCAAGUACAAUGGAUUUGGCUUGAACUGCAUGUGCAUGCGAAAGAAGAUGGCGGACGUCGCGGGAUACACUAGAAUUUAAGAUACACUCAUACGUACACACACACACAAUUAGUUUUUAAUUUCUUUUUUUUUUAUUAGUAGUAAGUUUUAAAAUAGUAUAUAGGCAGUUAGGGUAAGUUUAGAAAAAUAAAGCAUGAAUUAAAA